Molecule: long non-coding RNA, 979 nt
Organism: Sphaeramia orbicularis (orbiculate cardinalfish)
Lineage: Eukaryota; Metazoa; Chordata; Actinopteri; Kurtiformes; Apogonidae
Exons: 4
Source: RefSeq, a predicted model, not a curated record
UGAGGUGCUUUAUGAAAAGUUUGCCAACACAUGUUCUUAGUUGGCUACGUUCACCAUUAUUUAUGAAAGUUUGUCUUUGGAACUUUUUAUGGGUGGUCGUUUUGUGCAGAGCUCAACUUGCAUAUCAGCACAACUGAGUGAAUCAUUUGUUCACCCCUCAUAGCAAGGAGGGAAGGAAUAUUUAAUUUACAUUGAAUUCACCAAUGAUUUCUUAUAUUUGCUCUUACUAUUGUCACAAUUGUUAUUACAGAAGAUGUUUGUCUUUUUCUCAUAUUUGUAGUGUAUAACCAUAUAAAAACGAUAGCUGGAGAUUUUCACUUUCAUCUCUCCCUGCAGAAUUCAAUAAAGGACAGAAACAAAGUUUAGGGAAGUAUGCCCCUAAAUUCAGUAUUCGUGAUGGAGCAAUUUUCUUCAGGGGCCAACGAAGAGUUAUAAAGUUGAAGGAUGAGGCCAUGAAUUUUAAAAAAAAAUUUCAUGCCUCACCACUUAGAGGACACACUGGUCUCAUAAAAACCCAAAGUGCCAUGUGUUCAAGGUUUUAUUGGUAUGGCAUGACAGCAGAUAUAGAGAAAUGGGUGUCUGAAUGUGACAAAGGCCAAAGGGUGGGACCGGCCUUGAGCGCAGAUAAAAAGCGGGAAUCCAUCAAGGUGUCUGCUGUUUGGGAGCUGGUUGGAAUUGACCUCACAGGUCCACUUCCAAAGAUGUCCUCUGGUUUCCAGUAUAUUUUAACGGCCACAGACUACUUUUCAAAGUGGGUGGAAGCCAUCCCUCUACAAAGUCUGCAGCGGAAGUGGCAAGAAACCUCAGCAAAAUUUUUUAUAGACACAGCUGUCCCAAACAGAUUUUGUCAGACCAAGGACAUGAGUUUGAGAAUCAAGAAAGCUGUGCUGCACACAUGUUGUAAUGGUUUUGAGAAGUUUCUUUGCAACAUCUUGGCUUUAUGCACAACAUAACUAUAUUAUGCUUACUUUUUCAUUAA